UUAUAAAGGCAGCUUUUCUUGCCUUUGAAGUAGGAGAUUUUUGAGAGUCGGAAAUCUAAAAAUACAGAAACUUCAAAAAUUUUACUACUUUCAUAGACUUCAAGAAAAAAGAUUAUUGUUCUAUUGCAUUCUCUUCUAUAAUUUCAAAGACUUUUAACUUCUGGAGAAUUUCUGAUUAAUCUGGUGCUGAAAUGAAUUGAGUUUUGGGUGUUUGAAGUUUGGUUUGAGGUUGCUUUGGGUUAUUGUUCGAUUAAGAUUGUCUUGUACUGUUUCGUAUCCAUUUUUCUAGUUUGCAUUGGUGUUGCUGGUGAUGCAUUCUACUGUUUACUGCUGAGUGUUCACUUCUUUUUCCUUGUCAAUUUCCAGGUAUUUCUUGGACCUCUUUAGCUCAUGAAGUGCAAGAUGUGAAGCUU
RNAcentral lists this long non-coding RNA (413 nucleotides) under Nicotiana tabacum (common tobacco). RNAcentral's name for it is "long non-coding RNA (NTAB_LNC002305)". The record is from RNAcentral. Lineage: Eukaryota; Viridiplantae; Streptophyta; Magnoliopsida; Solanales; Solanaceae.